This is a non-coding RNA of Pseudonaja textilis, 200 nucleotides long. The record is from RefSeq and is a predicted model, not a curated record. NCBI's taxonomy places the organism in Eukaryota, Metazoa, Chordata, Lepidosauria, Squamata, Elapidae.
CAUGUACACAAAGCCCGUUUUGGAUGCAGGCAAGUGCAGGGCGCACGCGGAGGCUCAGGCAGGGCAAAAAACAGGCCUCCUGGAAGUCCGGGAAGGGUGGAAAUGGGCCCGUUUCUGGCUUCCAGAGAGCCUCCGGAGCCCAGGGAGGCCGCUUCUCGACUAGGCCACGCCCACCAUGGCCACGCCCAACCAGGCAGAGA